UCUCUGAAAAUUUUAUGUUCACUCAAUGUCAUGGAUACUAUGCUAAUUAAACUAUCAAAAUGUUGCAUGAUAAAAAUUUAUCUUCAGAAAGAGUAGCUAGCAAAACAUGUAUAUCAUAAAUAUUGAACUAAUGUGCAUACUAAAAGUAGAGAAUUAUAUAGAUCCAGAGAAACUUGUAGGAUGUGGGAUGUAGUACUCUUCACGCAUAGACUAAAGUACAUAUUAGUAUGUGGGAAGAGCAUAUGGUUUUAAUUGACGUGUGGCAGAGUGUAUUUACUUAACAAUAUAAUAAUUGUCUAUUUUUUGUGUUUUUUUAUCGGCAUACUUACCUACAUGAUAUUGCUCUCCAGGUAUAUAUUGCUUAAAACCACCCUAUUUUUUCUUAGCUAUACCCAUAUAUGUUUCUAGCUCGUGCUUUAUUUUUCUAAUUCUAUUUAUUUUUCAAAACAAUUUUUUUCUAUUUUCUUUGUAGUAAUUGAUGAUUGGUUAUUUGAAAUGAUGUUUGUAAAGUUGGCACCGUUUGCAAGUAACCAAGAUGAAUAUAGAGACCAAUUCAGUUUUGUAGACUGUAGUGAUAUGGUUUCAGAACUUGUGGUUACUGGAAUAUAAAGAGUUUGUUUUGUUGAGAGUUGUAUUUUGAAGAUAUACUACUAGAGCUUGGUAUUGCCGAGAGCUGCAGCUAAGUUGGUGGAGCGGUCCAUUAUUCUGAACCCUGGUCUAUGCUUUUGAAUAUUUGAGUUGCAAAUUUUGUUUUUAGAGCAACAAGAGCAUUGUGUAAUACUAUUGUAUAUGUAGAUAUGUAAUUUUUAAGUAUUUGAUCAUGUAGUUUCCAUGUUUUCGAAUAUUAUAAAAUCAUAAUAAAAUUCUAUGGAUAUUUGAUUUAUAAGCUGUCUGCAAUUUCUUAAUUUAAAAGAAAAAAUAAAAAUGUGAAAAAAUGGCUUAUGAAGGCAUCUUUUGUAAUGAUUUUUUGUUUAUUUUAAAAUGUAGCAAAUAACAGCGCUUGUUGCAGAAAGCGCUUUAUAAUACUAUCCUAUAUCAACGCUUAUGUUGUUUAAGCAUCGUCUAAAUGUAAUAUAAGACAACCCUUAUAAGUAGAAAGCGCUGUCUAAAUGCAUCAUAAGAUAGCGCUUAUGAGUAGAAAGUGUUGUCUAUUGGUGGCGUAUAAUAGUUCUUACAACAAAAGGCGAUGUCUAAAUGUAACAUAAGACAUCACUUAUAAUUAGAAAGUGUUGUCUAUUGGUGGCAUAUAUUAGCGCUUACGACAAAAGGCGCUGUCUAAAGGUAACAUUAGACAACGCUUUUACUUGAUUAUUAAGCGCUGAUCAUAGUGUUAUUUUGUGUGAUGUGUUCAUCUUCUUGCAUUAUAGACCGAAUUAUGAUCAUCUGAAAAUAAUCAUAAGUGUGUCCCAUAUACAAUGUCAGUCAUGAUUCGUGAACAAAAAUAGCGAGAUUCCUUUAAAUUAUUAAUAAUACAAUGUUGGAAGUUAUCCGUAGAUAACAAGGGAGUUGGACAACAUAUUUGGGUAACUGACUUAAAAUAUUCCAAACAAGAAAAAAAAACCAUUAACCUUUAACUUUGUUUUAAUUUUCCCAUCUAAAAUCAAACAGAGUGAAAUCAUAAAGAGGUGUCUUAUGUACAAAUACCAUUCAUGAACAAAUAAUGAGAUUCCUUUAAAUUAUUAACAAUAUAAAUGUGGGGAGUCAUAUAUAGAUAACUCGGGAGUUGAGAAAUAGAUUUGGUUAACUAACUUAAAAUCUUUCGAACAUUAAAAAAUCAUUCACCUUUAAAUUUGUUUUAACUUUUUCAUCUGAAAACAAUCAGAAGUGUGUCUAAUGUCCAAUGACACUUGUGAAUAAAUAGUGAGAUUCAUUUAAAUUAUUAACGGUACAGAUGUGUAGUUAUGUGUAGAUAACUGGGGAGUUGAGCAAUAAAUUUGGUUAACUAGCUUAAAAUCAUUCACAUUUAACUUUGUUUUAACUUUUUCAUCUGAAAACAAUCAGAAGUGUGUCUCAUGUCCAAUGACACUUGUGAAUAAAUAAUUAGAUUCAUUUAAAUUAUUAACAGUACAAAUGUGGAGUUAUGUGUAGAUAACUGGGGAGUUGAGCAAUAAAUUUGGUUAACUAGCUUAAAAUCAUUCACCUUUAACUUUGUGUUAACUUUUUCAUCUGAAAACAAUCAGAAGUGUGUCUCCGUCAAUGACACUUGUGAAUAAAUAGUGAGAUUCAUUUAAAUUAUUAACAGUAGAAAUGUGGAGUUAUGUGUAGAUAACUGGGGAGUUGGGGAACAUAUUUUGUUAAUUGACUUAAACUUUUCCAACAAGAAAAAAUCAUUCAUCUUUAACUUUGUUUUAACUUUUUCAUCUGAAAACAAUCAGAAGUGUGUCUAAUGUCCAAUGACACUUGUGAAUAAAUAGUGAGAUUCAUUUAAAUUAUUAACGGUACAGAUGUGGAGUUAUGUGUAGAUAACUGGGGAGUUGAGCAAUAGAUUUGGUUAACUAGCUUAAAAUGAUUCACCUUUAACUUUGUUUUAACUUUUUCAUCUGAAAACAAUCAG
This 2554-nucleotide long non-coding RNA is filed under the name Trifolium pratense (red clover). RNAcentral's name for it is "long non-coding RNA (TPRA_LNC005005)". The record is from RNAcentral. Lineage: Eukaryota; Viridiplantae; Streptophyta; Magnoliopsida; Fabales; Fabaceae.